RNAcentral lists this unclassified non-coding RNA (400 nucleotides) under Hevea brasiliensis (rubber tree). Lineage: Eukaryota; Viridiplantae; Streptophyta; Magnoliopsida; Malpighiales; Euphorbiaceae. The record is from RNAcentral.
GGAAGCUAUUCAAUAUCAGAUUAUCAAAACCUAAAAUAAUUAGGUACAUAGAAAAGCAUCCACAUGACAUGAAAUGCUAAAAGGAUGGUGCAAGAGAAACAAAAAGUCGCUUAAGAAAUAUAUCAGAAAGAAAAAGUAAAAAAACAUUUCCUUUGGAUAGCAGAAAAAGCCCCAAUGGUUGUAUAUUGACACUUGACUAAUGAUCAAUUACGAAUGCAUGUCAAAUAGAUGAAAGAGAUUGAAGCACAGCACUAGUCCUUCUCCUUUACCCCAUAUCAAACAGAAAGUCCAACUCCGAACACAAACCAAUAAACAAGUCGAAGGACAACUUGAUAUUCCCAGACACUCAUCCUCACAUAUUCCCUGUGAUCUUUAAUUCUAUGGUUCUAAUCAUUUUGUG